UACGGGGGGGCAAGCGUUGUUCGGAAUUACUGGGCGUAAAGGGCUCGUAGGUGGCCAACUAAGUCAGACGUUAAAUCCCUCGGCUUAACCGGGGAACUGCGUCUGAUACUGGAUGGCUAGAGUUUGGGAGAGGGAUGCGGAAUUCCAGGUGUAGCGGUGAAAUGCGUAGAUAUCUGGAGGAACACCGGUGGCGAAGGCGGCAUCCUGGACCAACACUGACGCUGAGGAGCGAAAGCCAGGGGAGCAAACGGG
This 252-nucleotide ribosomal RNA is filed under the name uncultured bacterium. RNAcentral's name for it is "partial 16S ribosomal RNA". It matches the Rfam family "Bacterial small subunit ribosomal RNA", at positions 524 to 776 of the family's 1533-position model. The record is from RNAcentral.